UUGCCCCAAAUUGCAUAGUAAUGGAUGGAA
Molecule: non-coding RNA, 30 nt
Filed under: Homo sapiens (human)
Lineage: Eukaryota; Metazoa; Chordata; Mammalia; Primates; Hominidae
Source: RNAcentral